UGUGACUACAGUAGAGCCCUACACCAAGAAAGAGCUGUCCAAACAUGAUUUACUACACAUCAUUUACCACUUCCGCCUGGAAUCAAACCUAUGGGGAUUUCCGCUACAAAGAGAUCCUCUGCUCUACUUUUACCCUGACGUUCCCAAAGACCCAAUCCUUGAAAAACACAAAUCCCCAGAAUCACCUUCAGAGGAUGGAUAUCUCCGCAGAGCCCAUCCUUUUAAAGCAGACGAUCCUAUAGCAUUUGGGUAUGAUGACCUUGAAGAAAAUGUUGAUAAAGCUGUCUCCAGGUCUGGAUACUUUGGUGACCUCCUUGUACCUUCUGGUGGGAGUAACUAAGAACAGUUUUUGGGAACAGGAACUAAUGCAGACAGCUCAGGGAGAAGAAACGAAACCAGGGAUACAGAGCUAGCUAUCUUUUCCAGCUGCCAAAAACCCCCACAAACCCCUGCUUCCAUCCAUCUUCCUCACCAACGUCAGAGGAGCUCAAUGUAACUGAAUCCUUCACUCAAAAAUCCCUGAUACCUCAGUGCAGUUUCCAGGCUGGUCCCUACACUGCCACAGCGCAACAAAGACUCCAGUAAGAAAAGGGGUGCUGUGCUAUGUGCCUUUGUGCUCCAGGAUUGGUACCAUGACAGUAGAAUUAUAGACAGUCUCUGCUCACUGGACUUAGAGGCCUUGUGCAUUCAGUGCACAACCUGUCUGAUCAGAAAUCGUAACUCUGCCUUCUGGCUGAGGGACAGUUCCCUGUACAGCACUGCCAGAGCCAACCUGAGGAGGAGCAUCAAACAAGCCAAGGAGGCCUACUACAAAAAACGCCACCAUGUGUGGACAGGCAUUAAAGCCCUCACCAACUACACUGACCAGAGCCCCCUCAACCACUGACAGCAGCCUCAAACUCACAACAAUGUGAGCCAUGGUCUGAGAAACCCUCAUCACUUGGGCCAUAUUAUACUCAAACCAAGACCUUUUGCACUGCUUCUAAGCACUUAACAACUUGUUCUUUAAUAUGUGCCUUUCUCUUAUUUUUGUAUGUAUUCCUCUUAUUUGCUAUUUAUUUCCUCUGUCUGCCAUUUAUAUUUAAUUAUGUUAUGUGUUUGAUGCUAUUACAAACAAGAAGUUUAGCUACAUGGUGUACUUGUACAUUAUUCUAAUUGUGCUCUGGAUAACAACAGAGGCAGUGGCGGUUCUAGCCUGUUUGGCGCCCCAGGCGAACACUCCCUCUGGUUUUCUAUUUUUUUCUAAACUGAGCACCUGAUGGCUUUGAACCUUUCUUGUCCAUCUUCCAUUGGUUUUAAUUUUGCACUCCAGUAUGAACACAAAUCCCCCAACUCGAGGAUCACCACAACAUAACCUAAUAGACCUACACCUUAGUUCACAGAUUCACUUUGUCUAAGGUGUAUUUCUGGGAUUUCACACAACCCAGGGUUCAAAUCAUGAAUACAUAAUGGGCUUGGAUUUACAACAUUAUGAAUGAAAUGUGCUCUAUUUGGAAGAAGCAGGCCCCCCUCCCCUUUCGAGGGGUUGUGUGUGAGACUUUAAAUCAUCAAAUUGUAAAUUAUAAAUUUUAAAUUGUUAUUGAUCCCUUUACCCCUGGUCCUAAGGUGUAUAUUUAUUUUCUUACUCUUCUUGUAUUUAUUGUUUGUUUACUUGCACUGCUGUAACUGGAGCGAGCCACGUCGUCUCGUCUCUCUAUAUACUGGACUGUAUGUAGCGGAGAUGACAAUAAAGUUUACUUUGACUUCAGCAGCGAGCAGGCGCACCGAGGGCUCUCGCGCUCACUUUUCGUGUAUAGAAAAACAUC
Molecule: long non-coding RNA, 1805 nt
Organism: Pelmatolapia mariae (spotted tilapia)
Lineage: Eukaryota; Metazoa; Chordata; Actinopteri; Cichliformes; Cichlidae
Exons: 4
Source: RefSeq, a predicted model, not a curated record